CCACGGGCGGCAGCAGUGGGGAAUAUUGGACAAUGGGCGAAAGCCUGAUCCAGCCAUGCCGCGUGUGUGAAGAAGGCCUUCGGGUUGUAAAGCACUUUCAGUGGGGAAGAAAGCCUUGGGGCUAAUACCCUCGAGGAAGGACAUCACCCACAGAAGAAGCACCGGCUAACUCCGUGCCAGCAGCCGCGGUAAUACGGAGGGUGCGAGCGUUAAUCGGAAUUACUGGGCGUAAAGCGCGCGUAGGCGGUCUGAUAAGCCGGUUGUGAAAGCCCCGGGCUCAACCUGGGAACGGCAUCCGGAACUGUCAGGCUAGAGUGCAGGAGAGGAAGGUAGAAUUCCCGGUGUAGCGGUGAAAUGCGUAGAGAUCGGGAGGAAUACCAGUGGCGAAGGCGGCCUUCUGGACUGACACUGACGCUGAGGUGCGAAAGCGUGGGUAGCAAACAGGAUUAGAUACCCCGGUAGUC
This 464-nucleotide ribosomal RNA is filed under the name Vreelandella stevensii. RNAcentral describes it as "partial 16S ribosomal RNA". It matches the Rfam family "Bacterial small subunit ribosomal RNA", at positions 339 to 795 of the family's 1533-position model. The record is from RNAcentral. Lineage: Bacteria; Pseudomonadati; Pseudomonadota; Gammaproteobacteria; Oceanospirillales; Halomonadaceae.